CGAGUGAAGCGGCAACAGCUCAAAUUUGAAAUCUGGCCUCGGCCCGAGUUGUAAUUUGCAGAGGAUGCUUUUGGUGCGGUGCCUUCCGAGUUCCCUGGAACGGGACGCCACAGAGGGUGAGAGCCCCGUAUGGUCGGACACCAAUCCUGUGUAAAGCUCCUUCGACGAGUCGAGUAGUUUGGGAAUGCUGCUCUAAAUGGGAGGUAAAUCUCUUCUAAAGCUAAAUACCGGCCAGAGACCGAUAGCGCACAAGUAGAGUGAUCGAAAGAUGAAAAGCACCUUGAAAAGGGGGUUAAACAGUACGUGAAAUUGUUGAAAGGGAAGCACUUGUGACCAGACUUGGGCCGGGCGGCUCAUCAGGGGUUCUCCCCUGUGCAUUCCGCCCGGUACAGGCCAGCAUCGGUUCUUACCGGGGGAUAAGAACGGCAGGAACGUGGCUCCCUCUCGGGGGAGUGUUAUAGCCUGCCGUACGAUACCCUGGCGGGGACCGAGGUUCGCGCUUCCGCAAGGAUGCUGGCGUAAUGGUUACUAGUGACCCGUCUUGAAACACGGACCAAGGAGUCGUCCAUUAGAGCGAGCGUUUGGGUGUAAAACCCGCACGCGUAAUGAAAGUGAAAUUAGGUGAGAGCUUCGGCGCAUCAUCGACCGAUCCUGAUGUUCUCGGAUGGAUUUGAGUAAGAGUUUUAACGGACGGACCCGAAAGACAGUGAACUAUGCUUGUAUAGGGUGAAGCCAGAGGAAACUCUGGUGGAGGCUCGCAGCGGUUCUGACGUGCAAAU
RNAcentral lists this ribosomal RNA (779 nucleotides) under Tubakia californica. RNAcentral describes it as "eukaryotic LSU rRNA". It matches the Rfam family "Eukaryotic large subunit ribosomal RNA", at positions 90 to 898 of the family's 3401-position model. The record is from RNAcentral. Lineage: Eukaryota; Fungi; Ascomycota; Sordariomycetes; Diaporthales; Tubakiaceae.